Molecule: ribosomal RNA, 253 nt
Filed under: uncultured bacterium
Lineage: Bacteria
Description: partial 16S ribosomal RNA
Rfam family: Bacterial small subunit ribosomal RNA
Source: RNAcentral
UACGGAGGGUGCAAGCGUUAAUCGGAAUUACUGGGCGUAAAGCGUGCGCAGGCGGUUUUGUAAGUCUGUCGUGAAAUCCCCGGGCUCAACCUGGGAAUUGCGAUGGAGACUGCAAGGCUUGAAUCUGGCAGAGGGGGGUAGAAUUCCACGUGUAGCAGUGAAAUGCGUAGAGAUGUGGAGGAACACCGAUGGCGAAGGCAGCCCCCUGGGUCAAGAUUGACGCUCAUGCACGAAAGCGUGGGGAGCAAACAGG